Molecule: long non-coding RNA, 610 nt
Filed under: Equus caballus (horse)
Lineage: Eukaryota; Metazoa; Chordata; Mammalia; Perissodactyla; Equidae
Description: lncRNA (ENSECAG00000051293.1)
Source: RNAcentral
CCACACCCUCAUAAAUCUCAAUGGCAGGCCAUGUAGAGCUAAGCUCACUUGUGUGAUGAAGACAAUGGGCCUCUAGGUGAACAGUGAGGGGACCAAAAGGGUUGGCCUUGGGAGGUCUGGUUUGGCUCAUGGUGGCGCUAGUUAUGACUUGAACCUGUCAGAUGAAGAUGGAGAUGGAGGUGAAGAUGGAGAUAGAGAUGGAUGUGAAGAUGGAGGUGAAGAUGGAGAUGGAGAUGGAGCGUGCACUCUGGAAAGAUAAAAUGCUGUGUCUCUACCAUCCCUUACCGAGAGGGGAGGAAGUAUGGCACAAAUCCGUGCUGCCCGGUGAAUACCCGGAGGAGGGCCAACCUGCCCAGGAAAAUGCAGAGCCACCGAAAAGUCUUGGGUCCUUUGAACUUUCUCUUCCCCUUGUUUGGGACACAAACCUAAUGCCUGGAGGCGCGGCAUCUGUUUGUGACCUUGAAGUGAUAAUCACAACGAAGAAAAUCAAGAUGUCAAGGAUGGCAGAGUAGGAAGUGAGAAAGAGCCUGCGUCCCCGAUGGCAUCGCUGAGGCUUGCACAGCUGUGACUUAACUACCCUGGAUGUCUUCAGAUGUGAGACCAAUCAAGC